UAUGUAAGUAUGUAUGUAUGUAUGUAUGUAUGUAUGUAUGUAUGUAUGCACAGGGGGAAAGGGGGGUGGAAUGUUAGAUAUGACGGAUGGAGAGCGGGAGAUGGCGGAGAUGAGUGGAGUGUGAUGGAGAGUGCGGUCCAGGACCAGAGCUACUGCUGCUGAAACAACGAACAACAACAACGAACAACAUGCCAAAUUUGGCUACACAGGUUGGCGACAGAUAUUCAAGGUGUAAUCCUCGGCCCUGUGACCGCAUGCACCGACUGGCCCGGUCCUCCACACAUCUAUCUGCGGCGGACCGCACCUCCCGGUCCUCCACACAUCUAUCUGCGGCGGACCGCACCUCCCGGUCCUCCACACAUCUAUCUGCGGCGGACCGCACCUCCCGGUCCUCCACACAUCUAUCUGCGACGGACCGCACCUCCCGGUCCUCCACACAUCUAUCUGCGACGGACCGCACCUCCCGGUCCUCCACACAUCUAUCUGCGGCGGACCGCACCUCCCGGUCCUCCACACAUCUAUCUGCGGCGGACCGCACCUCCCGGUCCUCCACACAUCUAUCUGCGGCGGACCGCACCUCCCGGUCCUCCACACAUCUAUCUGCGGCGGACCGCACCUCCCGGUCCUCCACACAUCUAUCUGCGGCGGACCGCACCUCCCGGUCCUCCACACAUCUAUCUGCGGCGGACCGCACCUCCCGGUCCUCCACACAUCUAUCUGCGGCGGACCGCACCUCCCGGUCCUCCACACAUCUAUCUGCGGCGGACCGCACCUCCCGGUCCUCCACACAUCUAUCUGCGGCGGACCGCACCUCCCGGUCCUCCACACAUCCAUCUGCGGCGGACCGCACCUCCCGGUCCGUGCCCACCAGCGGCAUAUCGCCACCGCACGGCUCUCCUACCGGGUUAUCGGUAGUCGCCGCUGCAGGCUGGGAAGCGACCUGCCGUACAGCUCCGGAACCACAGCCAGCUAGCCACGCAUGCAUGCAUGCACAUAACAGGCGACACCCGCCCACACACACAUACGCCGACACGCGCCCACCUGCAGCGUUGCCACGUCGCUCCAUCCCCCCACGUGAUCGACAUGUACGGCAGCCCUGCCGGCGGCAAGCCUGAAGCAUGUCCCCGGCACUAGCGGCACUUGAACUGCCGUACUGCCAUCAGGGCCGUCGCCAUCAGGGGCUGGGAGCUGGGUAUCGGCGGACUUGGAGGAGGAGGAGAAGGCUGAGGAGGGGGAGAAGGAGGAAAGGGAUUGAGAGGCGGUCCUUGGCUGCUGCUGUGCUGCGCUUGCUUGAAAAGUGGAGGCUGUUGGAAGGGAGGCCUCCGGUAAUCGGGAUAGAAGGCAUGCGUGUAUGCGACGGAAUGCUUCUGGUACGAGGUCAUGCAAGCAUGGCUGUGGUUGCUGGGUCACGCCACGGCCAAGGAGCGGCAGAGAAGGAUGAGUGCAGAGGCCAGCGGAUUCGGCGGCAACGAGAGCUGCACCUAAAAUGGAACGCAUGAUAAAAUGAAAUGACUCAGAAACCUAUGUUCAUUCUACGUUUGGCAGAUGUUUUGCGGAUUCGAGACAAUGAAGUUAGUAGCCGCGCGGAGGAGAAUUGUACAUGUGGCAUGUAUCUUGGCAUCUAAGUACAUGUGGCAUGUACCGAUGAAAUUCUAGACGGUUGCCCGAUUGUAAAAGCGGUUGUACAGCAUUGACUCCUGAUUGAUGAACGAAGAGGUUGCACGCUUUGGCAAAGUAAAGCUUCCUGUCAAAGAAUUGCGACAUCGGGGCACUUCAAAGGAAAGAAGAGCAUAAGGAUAGCACGUACUUUUAAAACGAUUGUUGUAUCUUGUGGCCAUUCACUAAUAAAGCCUUGUGCUGAGUAUUCUUGUAUAUCAUCACACCUUACUUCAUCAAAUAGAGUUGAUGUUAUCUCAAUAUGCAUGUGGCUGGACGAUUAGGUCGACAAGGUGGUUGGUGGCAAGUCUCUCUUUCACUUCCUAAGUGCAGAUUACUACUUCUAUAAUGGGCGUCAAACUGUAAGGAAACAUUCUCGCUGGAUGUGCCGAAAUCCGACCGCGCACGGAUUUUACUUGAUGUCGAUGGUAUGCGCAGCUUAAUCCGGCCGGUACCGCCAAAAGGUGUUACCGGGCCGACCUCCUAUGACUUAUUGAAGCGGCUGAUUGACGAGCUUUGCGUAUCGCAACCCUCUGGCCGGUCGGAGGCAUGGUCUGUCACCUGCCAGCUAAUGAAGCAGGGCCACGGUCUGGUGAGCAGGGCCACGCUCUGAUGGCGACGGCUCCAUAUUCCUAACCUCCUUGUUACCUUACCUUUUAUUCUUCUCCUCAUCCUUACUCUUCAAGCUUCCCUGUCCUGACACCUCGCCUGGCGCCCUCUCCACCUGCUCAGGUUGGCACUGUGGGCGGGCCCACUGCGGGUGCUGGUGGCGGCGGCGGCCUUAGAGAUACCUGGGCCGUCACGUUUCGAGACGCACCCGAUGUGGUCUUCUUAUUGCAGCGGCCCGAAUGCAAGGUAUGAAGCACGACCACGACCCCCCCCCUCUCCUUUGCAAUACUGCCAUGGCCUAACCAAACCCAACCGCUAAAACCACGGGUUCAAAUCCUCCCCUACCUCCCCCCCAACCCCUUCGGCUCCUCCCCCCACACACACCACACCACAUGUACCCCUUCUCCCCGCGUGGCGUUAUGGUUUCCCCCAAAGCUCGACAUCUUGGAAAAAGAUGUCGCUUUUUUGGGAACAUGGGCAUCAUGGGAAAGUAUAGCAUCGAUGUGGGUCGGGUCUAGCAGGUCUAGGCUGCACAACCGCACAAGGACAGGUGUACACGCGGACCUAUACACACAGGCAGGCACCUUCCCCCCCCUAGCACACCUCCUUCACACGGCACGCAUGCGCCAUGGACACAAGCGUACGUAUCGGUGCAUCCACACACACAGCGCCACACAGCGCCACCACACCCAUGUAACCUGUUACGCGGACUCAUACGCACACGCGCGCCCGUACUUCCCCUGGUGGUCCCGGCUGGUGGUGGCUCACUUCGACUGCCGUACCGGUGUGUGUGUGUAUGUGUGGGGUUGGGGGGGGUUCCCUGCUUCACCACUGCUCAGGUGUUGGAGUGCGAAUCUGCGGUCAUGAGGCUGUUGGAGAAAAAGCUAGAGUUCGCCAAGCAGAUGGCCGUACGAGUGGAGGUGGGGGCGGCUGUGUGGCGAGUGGCCGGUUGGUGGAGUGUUGUGUGUGUAUGUAUGUGUGUGUGCUUGUGUGUGUAUAUGUGUGUGUGUGUGCGUGUCAUUGUCGGUGGGGGUGGUGAUCUGUAAUCUGUAUUGUAAUCUGUAUCGUCGUCAUUCCUCUCCCCUCUCCCUUGUUACAUAUAACCCAGGGUUUUCUCCCCCCUCUCUCCCCCGCCUCACCCCACCCCUCUCCCCCCUACCAAGGGCCACACCUACACCAAGGGCGACUUCGUACUCCGACUGUGUACGGCAACUCAAGCCAUUCACUCUACCCAGGUCGGAUGACGGGGGGUGAGGGGGAAUUAGGGUUUUAGGGUUAUUGGGGCGGACGGGAUGGGGCUCUCCCUUUGCGCACCUGUUUUUUGACAACGAUAAUAAGACAGUAGUGCUAUUAUUUCAACACAGAUAUGUUAUUACAACAUAUUGUCAUAACACAGAUCAUCAAGGCAUCGGGGACAGGGAAAUGACACCAGCAAGCACCUCUACUGCCCGCCACCCCACUCCCCACCCCCCACCCCCAACCCCCAACCCCGCCCCCAACCCCGCUCACAGGCGCUCCUGGGUUACUGCCUGGAGGUGGAGUACCUGCCCGUCAGCAGUAUGAGCUCGGCGGAGGGCAUGUUGGGGGAGCUGUUGGACCUCAUGAAGCAGCUGAUGAACACCAUCGUGGCAGCAGCGGCGGCGGCGAACACAACAACAACACAAGAGGGUCAGGGUCCAGCAGGAGGAGGAGGAGGUGCUGGUGCUUUGUCGCAGACACUGCAGUAAGUGUUUGUAUGGGGUUGGGGAGGGAGGGGGAGGGGGGAAGAGGGUGUGCACGUGCGUGCGUGUGUGUUUUGUUCUGGUGACGUUUGCGGGGUGGUGGCGGUCGGAAGGUGUUUUACGUGGUGGAGGAAGGGUAUCGUGGUGUGUGUCGGGAGGGCGGGGCUUGGAAUUGUUUGGGCGUGUGUGAGGUGCUGGCCGGCUGGCGGUGUCACCGGCAAUGCCCCGCGAGUUCUGUGUUGCCGUCCGGUCUCCGGUCGCGAGCACAAAUCUGUUAGUGCAUGUCUGUAUGUUUGUCUAUCUGUAUCUAUGUGCGGAUGGAUGAGAUAUAUGUAUGUGCACACGCAGGCUGGAGACUGUGAAGCCAGCAUACGACAAGUACGGCCUCGGCAGUACACCGUACGGCCGUGCGCACGCUGCGGUGGCGUACACGGACCUGGUCAUGAUGAUGUUGAGCAGCUCUGUUGCAGCUGCUGCUGCUGCACAACAGCAACAACAACAACAGCAGCAACAGCAACAACAGCCUCAACCGCCACCGCAGCAACCGCAAACGUUAUUAAACACAUUAAAGCAUUAAGAGGGAAAAAGCUGAUGCCGCUUUGGAUAUUAGGUCGAUGAUAGCAGUGGCGAUGAUGUAUGUAUGUUGUUACAGGGUGGUAUGUAUGUAUGUAUGUAUGUAUGUAUGUAUGUAUGUAUGUCUUGUAGAUGUAAAGAGGGGGGCUGUGUCCGGACCGGUUCAUCCCCCUCCGCCUCCGCCUCCUCCACCUGCGGUGCGACUUCGACACCCGUCACGUCAUAUGGUACGCCUCUUUUUAUGCGUCCUCUUCGAUAACCUCACGGAUUGAGAAAUGACGUCCGACCCGUGGGUCAUAUGGCUCCCUGGGUCCCUCCUCGGGUUCCCCCUGUGGGCCAAACAUCUCUUGUCGCUGGCUUGUUGUUGUUGGCCAGUUUGGUCAAGAUCUAGGCUAGGUGCAAGCUAGAGGGAGCGGGAGAGGGACAACCCUUCAAAAAGGCACCGUAGCCGUUGGGCGCCUCCGCCGAGGGAGGAGCUAGAGGAGAGUUUGCUGCGUGGGGACGCAAGGCUACUGUUGCUGCUGCUAUUGCUGCUGCUGCUGCUAUUGCUGCUGUUAUUGCUGCUGAACCGUGAUAUCGAUUGGGACACCGUACUGAUUAUUGUGUAAUGGUGAAAGGGUUCGUGGAAAGGUUGUGAAUAGGUUCAGGAACCCUCCAGAGCUCUGCUCCUUUCCCUACCGAAUGUCGGUGCCGUACGUACUGGGGAGACGAGGGACAUACAUACAUAUAUGGGAGCACAAUCUAUAUGUACACGCCCGCGUGUGAGAGGCUGGGGUAGUGAGUUGGGAGUGGGAUUAGGAAAUGUGAUUAAAAUUGGACCACACAUGUACAUGAUCAGUCCUUCAUCAUUUCGCGUUUUCACAUGCGUCCUCACAUGGCCGCAUCCGUGCGGUCCAGCCCACCGCAGCAAUCCAGUAUUACUAAAGUAGUCCUGUAGUGCAAAUCUUGACACCGUUUACAUACAACAGGCGAUGGCGCAUCUUGGCGCAUCAGGAGGUGGGGCCCAAUUUCUACCAUUCUUUGGGCCCAACAUCGCUGUUUAUAUUAAUAAUUAUUAUUCACUAAUGCACUUCAUGCCAUUCACUAAUGCACUUACAUCCUGUGAGGAUAUACGUAUCACCCUAGACAGACAGACAGACAGACAGAUGUUCAAAAAGGGCCGACGUGCAGGGUGGGUGUCCGCGCCCGACUGUGCAGGGGGCAUGUGAGCGUCGCACGAAAUAGAGGCCACGAAAUGCCGCCUGUGUGCAGGUGUGUGUGCGCGUGUGUCAAUGUGUUUGUGCUGUGUCCGUGUCCGUGUGUGUGUGUGUGUGUCCGUGUGUGUGUAUGUGCUAAAUUAUGAAUAUCAUCCCGAUAAAUAGCAUGAAGAUGACCAUUGCUUCUGCAGUACAUGCCCAUAAUAGCUGCGAACAUUGCCACAGGAGCAAUAAAUGCGAGCCAUGCGCCGCCCCUCGCAUCAUGGUAAUAGUGACAGACGCUAGAGAGAACCAAUACGGAGAUGUACGAACCCUGCCAAAUGGGAUAAGGCUCACGAUGGCAUACAGUGGCAUGUACGGAAAUAUGACAUAAGCGUACCCGUGCGAACGAAGAAUCAUGAAUUUAUGUAUUUGACGUCCGCCCCUUCAUCUCCUUUUAUACGUACAUACGUGCGUACAUACAUACAUACAUAAUACAUACAUACAUACAUACAUACAACUACUAUCUUUGAUUUCCAUAUUCAAAUUUCCAUGAGCAUGCAGCAACAUGAAACGGAAGCGUCAUGUUCCGCAGGGUUGUACUUCACAACCCGCAAGUACGGGACCCCUACUUCAAAAAGCAAGUACUAAAUAAACACACAGCACUACCCGCCAACACCCACCUGCAACUGAUCAAGAAAAAAGAACGAGCCGUACUGCAGUCCAUGCGCUCGUCCAAUCCAAGCAGCGCCAGGUAAUCCCAACUGCCCCCGCGUCCCCCGGUAAACCUUUGCUGUACAGCCCGUGCAAACAGACAGACAGACACACAGACAGAGGAAACAAAAACAUGCUUAACAUCCCCAGCGUUUCCCUGUCGCGGCGGUGCCAGUUUCCAUCAACAACACACACACACACACACACACACACACAUACACAUAAUUAUCAGGGCCCCUGUGCGGCCCCGGCACAGACACACACCAGUCUGCGCUCGCAGGGGAGAGGAAAGCCUCCGUUCCUAGUAGUAGGCUCAUAGGACCGAAAGCCCCCCUCCCCCUCCCCCUCCCUCCGGGAGUCAGCGGUGGGGGUAGCGUCCUCCACAGCCAUCACUACCCCCCUUAUCCAGGAACAUGGCCCCUCACCUCUUACCAUCACCCUUAGCUUUUCCCCCAAACCCUGAGCUCACAUUUAAUUAAUGGCGGACGGUGGUCGUGGGGUUAGUGGUGGGCAUGUGUAUUCGCUGUCCGUGUGUCUUUUAUUUCCGCCCUCCCCCCCCCCUCCCAAUCUACCCUCGUCUUUUCCGCCCUUCAAAUAACAAAACCGCUGACCCUUAAAAUAACGAACUCGCUCAACCGCCGAUACACCGUUUUCAGCCCUGAAGCAAGUCCGUUGUUGGCAGCGCUGUGUUUAUGUGCACAGGACUGAGUGACAUCGUACGACACCAUUGCUUGUACCAUCCUCCUUGGAUGGCCGUACGGCACGCAAUCAAUGUGCCGUACAUCCGUAGUGCCGUGAAUGGAUGGGGUAGCAAUAGUGUCGGGUUAGCGCCUAAUUAGGAAAGGAUAGGGCUAGAGGGUAUUUCGGGUCGGAGGGGCUCGAGGGGCAGAUGAGAAUGGGGGGGGACAUAUAAGGCCCCAGAGAGCAGGAUGAAUCGCAUCCAUGAAUGAUGAUGACUUGCAAAUGCAGAAACAGACGUACAGACGUACAGAUGUACACAUAUGGCUUGCGUAAAACUGCGUCACCUCCUCGCGACGCGUUUUAAUGAUCCAGACACAGAUUCCCUCCAAACACACGCGGACAGACAGACAGACAAAAACAUACAUCCGCGCGCUCAUGUAUGAAUCCGCCAAUACAUCUAUCGAUCUAAUUAACCACCCAACGUUCUGUCGCACAAACCUCCUUUAGGAAAGAUCUAAAGUCGUGACGCAAACAAAAACACGACGUUUCGCGUCCUUCUCAAGGACAUCGCUUUG
RNAcentral lists this long non-coding RNA (7704 nucleotides) under Volvox carteri. RNAcentral's name for it is "long non-coding RNA (VCAR_LNC002396)". The record is from RNAcentral. Lineage: Eukaryota; Viridiplantae; Chlorophyta; Chlorophyceae; Chlamydomonadales; Volvocaceae.